UUUUUUUUUUUUUUUUUUUUUUUUUUUUUUUUUUUUUCG
RNAcentral lists this non-coding RNA (39 nucleotides) under Alexandrium minutum. Lineage: Eukaryota; Dinophyceae; Gonyaulacales; Pyrocystaceae. The record is from RNAcentral.